Molecule: ribosomal RNA, 310 nt
Filed under: uncultured bacterium
Lineage: Bacteria
Description: bacterial SSU rRNA
Rfam family: Bacterial small subunit ribosomal RNA
Source: RNAcentral
AUUGAACGCUGGCGGCAUGCCUUACACAUGCAAGUCGAACGGCAGCACGGGAGCAAUCCUGGUGGCGAGUGGCGAACGGGUGAGUAAUAUAUCGGAACGUGCCCAGUCGUGGGGAUAACGUAGCGAAAGCUACGCUAAUACCGCAUACGAUCUAUGGAUGAAAGCGGGGGAUCGCAAGACCUCGCGCGAUUGGAGCGGCCGAUAUCAGAUUAGGUAGUUGGUGAGGUAAAGGCUCACCAAGCCGACGAUCUGUAGCUGGUCUGAGAGACGACCAGCCACACUGGGACUGAGACACGGCCCAGACUCCUAC